This 1544-nucleotide ribosomal RNA is filed under the name Streptococcus pseudopneumoniae G42. RNAcentral's name for it is "bacterial SSU rRNA". It matches the Rfam family "Bacterial small subunit ribosomal RNA". Lineage: Bacteria; Bacillati; Bacillota; Bacilli; Lactobacillales; Streptococcaceae. The record is from RNAcentral.
AUGAGAGUUUGAUCCUGGCUCAGGACGAACGCUGGCGGCGUGCCUAAUACAUGCAAGUAGAACGCUGAAGGAGGAGCUUGCUUCUCUGGAUGAGUUGCGAACGGGUGAGUAACGCGUAGGUAACCUGCCUGGUAGCGGGGGAUAACUAUUGGAAACGAUAGCUAAUACCGCAUAAGAGUGGAUGUUGCAUGACAUUUGCUUAAAAGGUGCAAAUGCAUCACUACCAGAUGGACCUGCGUUGUAUUAGCUAGUUGGUGGGGUAACGGCUCACCAAGGCGACGAUACAUAGCCGACCUGAGAGGGUGAUCGGCCACACUGGGACUGAGACACGGCCCAGACUCCUACGGGAGGCAGCAGUAGGGAAUCUUCGGCAAUGGACGGAAGUCUGACCGAGCAACGCCGCGUGAGUGAAGAAGGUUUUCGGAUCGUAAAGCUCUGUUGUAAGAGAAGAACGAGUGUGAGAGUGGAAAGUUCACACUGUGACGGUAUCUUACCAGAAAGGGACGGCUAACUACGUGCCAGCAGCCGCGGUAAUACGUAGGUCCCGAGCGUUGUCCGGAUUUAUUGGGCGUAAAGCGAGCGCAGGCGGUUAGAUAAGUCUGAAGUUAAAGGCUGUGGCUUAACCAUAGUAGGCUUUGGAAACUGUUUAACUUGAGUGCAAGAGGGGAGAGUGGAAUUCCAUGUGUAGCGGUGAAAUGCGUAGAUAUAUGGAGGAACACCGGUGGCGAAAGCGGCUCUCUGGCUUGUAACUGACGCUGAGGCUCGAAAGCGUGGGGAGCAAACAGGAUUAGAUACCUGGUAGUCCACGCCGUAAACGAUGAGUGCUAGGUGUUAGACCCUUUCCGGGGUUUAGUGCCGUAGCUAACGCAUUAAGCACUCCGCCUGGGGAGUACGACCGCAAGGUUGAAACUCAAAGGAAUUGACGGGGGCCCGCACAAGCGGUGGAGCAUGUGGUUUAAUUCGAAGCAACGCGAAGAACCUUACCAGGUCUUGACAUCCCUCUGACCGCUCUAGAGAUAGAGCUUUCCUUCGGGACAGAGGUGACAGGUGGUGCAUGGUUGUCGUCAGCUCGUGUCGUGAGAUGUUGGGUUAAGUCCCGCAACGAGCGCAACCCCUAUUGUUAGUUGCCAUCAUUCAGUUGGGCACUCUAGCGAGACUGCCGGUAAUAAACCGGAGGAAGGUGGGGAUGACGUCAAAUCAUCAUGCCCCUUAUGACCUGGGCUACACACGUGCUACAAUGGCUGGUACAACGAGUCGCAAGCCGGUGACGGCAAGCUAAUCUCUUAAAGCCAGUCUCAGUUCGGAUUGUAGGCUGCAACUCGCCUACAUGAAGUCGGAAUCGCUAGUAAUCGCGGAUCAGCACGCCGCGGUGAAUACGUUCCCGGGCCUUGUACACACCGCCCGUCACACCACGAGAGUUUGUAACACCCGAAGUCGGUGAGGUAACCGUAAGGAGCCAGCCGCCUAAGGUGGGAUAGAUGAUUGGGGUGAAGUCGUAACAAGGUAGCCGUAUCGGAAGGUGCGGCUGGAUCACCUCCUUUCUA